CCCCCAAUGGUGCAGUAGGUCAGUGUGUCCGGCUGUUAAUCGGAAGGUUGGUGGUUCAAGCCCACCCAGGGAUCGCUGUGGGG
Molecule: non-coding RNA, 83 nt
Organism: Podarcis lilfordi (Lilford's wall lizard)
Lineage: Eukaryota; Metazoa; Chordata; Lepidosauria; Squamata; Lacertidae
Source: the annotation of a GenBank genome assembly